RNAcentral lists this long non-coding RNA (1052 nucleotides) under Canis lupus familiaris (dog). RNAcentral's name for it is "lncRNA (ENSCAFG00030018383.1, ENSCAFG00040006565.1)". Lineage: Eukaryota; Metazoa; Chordata; Mammalia; Carnivora; Canidae. The record is from RNAcentral.
AUGGGAACUGUCUUGUCAGAACUGGGCCAGAGCGCUGCCCUUGCGUUGCUUCGCUGCAGGAGGAGGAAUGAACAGGUGCCUGUUGCUCUCCACCCACUCCAUCCCUCGUUGCCGUCACCUCCUCCCCGGCUCUUGUCAGAAGGACCCGAGGUGAAGGAUGUGGCUUCUCAGCAGACCGGGGAGCCUUUGUUCUGCACAGGCCACCUGACGGAGGUGCUGCUUGUACCUACCUGGCUUGCGUGGGGAGGGAAGGGCCUCUGCCCAGGCUGCCCCCGGGCGCCCCGCUCUGCCCGCCACAGUGCCCUCCGGGCGCAUCUGCCUUGGCUUGGCGAACACAACUCUGCAGGGCGGGCGGCGGGUGGGAGGGUCUCUCUGGGGCCCGGGACCCACUGGCUCCUUGCUGCUGGAAGCUGCUGGAAGCUGCUGGAAGCCGCCAGAGCUGGGUUUUGUCCCCGUCCUGAGCGUGGCAUCGUUCGGGUGAGGACUGUCCAGACGGGACCACACACGUCCCUGGGAGCGAGGGGAGCACGCGGGUCACCCUGGGCCGUAGGCAGAGCCUGAGGUCGUGGCGCUGGGGGCCGCCUCCGGGGCUUAGGGCCCUGAGGCUACUGGUCAGCAGCUGUGAAACCCCAGGGAGCUCACUGCCUCUCGCCAUGCCUCAGUUUACCCAGAUACAGGAUGGGCUGGAAGAGAAGCACCAGCCUUCGGGUUUUAGGGAGGACCCCACAGGGUGUUUGCAGUAAGAUUCAUGGGUCAGUGUGAGUUGGGUAUUUCAGGAUAUAAAAGCCUACAUUGGGGCGCCUGGGGGGCUCAGUGGGUGAGCGUCCGCCUCCGGCUCAGGGCGUGACCCUGGGGUCCUGGGAUCGAGUCCCACGUCCGGCUCCCUGCAUGCAGCCUGCUUCUCCCUCUUCCUGUGUCUCUGCCUGUGCAUGAAUAAAUCUCAUGAAUAAAUCAAUAAAAUCUUUUAAAUAAGUAAAUAAAUAAAAGCCUACUUUCCCUCCCAUGUGCACGCGCGCUCUCUCCCUCGUCCCCCACACGCUCUCAGACUCAGU